UUUUUUUUUUUUUUUUUUUUUUUUUUUUUUUUUUUCCUCACAGCUGCGA
Molecule: non-coding RNA, 49 nt
Filed under: Alexandrium minutum
Lineage: Eukaryota; Dinophyceae; Gonyaulacales; Pyrocystaceae
Source: RNAcentral